Molecule: ribosomal RNA, 51 nt
Filed under: Exophiala dermatitidis
Lineage: Eukaryota; Fungi; Ascomycota; Eurotiomycetes; Chaetothyriales; Herpotrichiellaceae
Also listed under: 1 other name
Description: partial 28S ribosomal RNA
Source: RNAcentral
GGUUGACCUCGGAUCAGGUAGGAAUACCCGCUGAACUUAAGCAUAUCAUAA